Molecule: ribosomal RNA, 515 nt
Filed under: uncultured bacterium
Lineage: Bacteria
Description: bacterial SSU rRNA
Rfam family: Bacterial small subunit ribosomal RNA
Source: RNAcentral
GAGUUUGAUCGUGGCUCAGAUUGAACGCUGGCGGCAGGCCUAACACAUGCAAGUCGAGCGGUAGAGAGAAGCUUGCUUCUCUUGAGAGCGGCGGACGGGUGAGUAAUGCCUAGGAAUCUGCCUGGUAGUGGGGGAUAACGCUCGGAAACGGACGCUAAUACCGCAUACGUCCUACGGGAGAAAGCAGGGGACCUUCGGGCCUUGCGCUAUCAGAUGAGCCUAGGUCGGAUUAGCUAGUUGGUGAGGUAAUGGCUCACCAAGGCGACGAUCCGUAACUGGUCUGAGAGGAUGAUCAGUCACACUGGAACUGAGACACGGUCCAGGACUCCUACGGGAGGCGAGCAGUGGGGAAUAUUGGACAAUGGGCGAAAGCCUGAUCCAGCCAUGCCGCGUGUGUGAAGAAGGUCUUCGGAUUGUAAAGCACUUUAAGUUGGGAGGAAGGGCAGUAAAUUAAUACUUUGCUGUUUUGACGUUACCGACAGAAUAAGCACCGGCUAACUCUGUGCCAGCCGCCG